CAGUGCAGUUAAGUGACUUGCCUUAGUGCACACCCCCAGAAAGUGACAGCACCAGCAUUUGAACCCUGACACAAGCAUCUCCAAAACUGCAUUCUUCCCACUGUGCCACAGUUAAGAUGAGUCCACCAGCCCUGUUUAGGUGAGUUCUGGCCCUCCCUGUGUGUCCCCACAUGCAGCCAACUGCAUCCAACCUGUCCAUGCCAGGUCCUGUCCUGAGAACAGUGGGCAGUGCUGGGCUUGGGGCGUGUGCAGGGGGGCGAGGGGAGCCCAGUGGAGGCUCAGACUGAUUUCACCUGGCAUUUCCUCAAGACUUUGGUGUUUGAACUGCGUUUUGAAGGCAAAGAAGUCAGAUAGACAAAUGAAAGAGAGGGAAAAGGCACUCCAGGUAGCAGGAACAGCAUGUGCAGAAUCAAAGAGGCAUGAAGAAAACUUAAAAUGUAGUCUUCCAAGUCAUGUACCCUAGAACUUAAAGUAUAAUAAAAAAAUAAACAUAGAAAAAUAAA
RNAcentral lists this long non-coding RNA (503 nucleotides) under Homo sapiens (human). Its description in RNAcentral is "non-protein coding lnc-AIPL1-2:3". The record is from RNAcentral. Lineage: Eukaryota; Metazoa; Chordata; Mammalia; Primates; Hominidae.